Molecule: ribosomal RNA, 901 nt
Filed under: uncultured crenarchaeote
Lineage: Archaea; Thermoproteati; Thermoproteota
Description: SSU rRNA
Rfam family: Archaeal small subunit ribosomal RNA
Source: RNAcentral
CCUGCCGGACCCGACUGCUAUCGGAUAGAGAUUAAGCCAUGCAAGUCGAACAUUUCUUAACUAUGUAAGAAGUGUGGCAUACGGCUCAGUAACACGUGGUCAACCUACCCUAAAGACAUGGAUAACCCCGGGAAACUGGGAUUAAUAUAUGAUAGGUCGUUUUUCCUGGAAUCGGUUUAUGACUUAAAGGAUUGUUGAGCAAGUUUGAUUAAUUGCUUUAGGAUGGGACUGCGACCGAUCAGGUUGUUGGUGGGGUAAUGGCCUACCAAGCCGAUUACCGGUGCGGGCUCUGAGAGAAGGAGCCUGGAGAUGGACACUGAGAAAAGGGUCUAGGCCCUACGGGGCGCAGCAGGCGCGAAAACUUUGCAAUGUGCGAAAGCACGACAAGGUUAAUCCGAGUGCAACAUGCUGAAUGUAGCUUUUGGUAAAUGUAAAUAUUUUAUUGAAUAAGGGGAGGGAAAGUCUGGUGUCAGCCGCCGCGGUAAUACCAGCUCCCCGAGUGGUCGGGACGAUUAUUGGGCCUAAAGCAUCCGUAGCCGGUUCUGUAGGUCUUAUGUUAAAAUCAAUUGCUUAACAAUUGAACUGCAUGAGAUACCACAAAACUAGGAGGCGGGAGAGGUGGACGGUAUUCCACGGGUAGGGGUAAAAUCCUCUGAACCGUGGAGGACCACCAGUGGCGAAGGCGGUCCACCAGAACGCGCUCGACGGUGAGGGAUGAAAGCUGGGGUAGCGAACCGGAUUAGAUACCCGGGUAGUCCCAGCUGUAAACGAUGCAAGCUAGGUGAUGCAUUAGCCACGUGUUAAUGCAGUGCCGCAGGGAAGCCGUUAAGCUUGCCGCCUGGGGAGUACGUCGCAAGGCUGAACUUAAAGGAUUGGCGGGGAGCACCACAAGGGUGAAGCU